AGAGUUUGAUCAUGGCUCAGGACGAACGCUUGCGGCGUGCCUAAGAAAUGCAAGUCGAACGGGGGUGGCGACACCCUAGUGGCGAACGGUCGCGUAACACGUAAGAAACCUGCCUCGAAGCUGGGGACAACAGCCCGAAAGGGCUGCUAAUACCGAAUGUGGUCAUCCUCCCGCAUGGGUGGUUGACUAAAGCCUUGUGCACUUCGAGAUGGUCUUGCGGCCUAUCAGGUUGAUGGUGGGGUAACGGCCUACCAUGCCGACGACGGGUAGCUGGUCUGAGAGGACGAUCAGCCGGAUUGGGACUGAGAUACGGCCCAGACUCCUACGGGGGGCAGCAAUUAGGAAUCUUGCGCAAUGGGCGGAAGCCUGACGCAGCGACGCCGCGUGAGGGAUGACGGCCUUCGGGUUGUAAACCUCUUUUGCCGGGGAAGAAGAACGUGACGGUACCCGGUGAAUAAGCCCCGGCUAACUACGUGCCAGCAGCCGCGGUAAUACGUAGGGGGCGAGCGUUGUCCGAAGUUACUGGGCGUAAAGCGCGCGUAGGCGGCUUCUUAAGUCCGGGGUGAAAGGUCCAGCGCUCAACGCGGACAGUGCCUCGGAUACUGGGGGGCUUGAAUGUGGCAGAGGAUAGUGGAAUGGCUGGUGUAGCGGUGAAAUGCGUAGAUAUCAGUCGGAACACCCAUGGCGAAGGCAGCUAUCUGGGCUAACAUUGACGCUGAGGUGCGAAAGCGUGGGGAGCGAACGGGAUUAGAUACCCCAGUAGUCC
Molecule: ribosomal RNA, 766 nt
Filed under: uncultured soil bacterium
Lineage: Bacteria
Description: bacterial SSU rRNA
Rfam family: Bacterial small subunit ribosomal RNA
Source: RNAcentral